UGGGGAAUAUUGCACAAUGGGCGCAAGCCUGAUGCAGCCAUGCCGCGUGUGUGAAGAAGGCCUUCGGGUUGUAAAGCACUUUCAGCGGGGAGGAAGGCGUUAAGGUUAAUAACCUUGGCGAUUGACGUUACCCGCAGAAGAAGCACCGACUAACUCCGUGCCAGCAGCCGCGGUAAUACGGAGGGUGCAAGCGUUAAUCGUAAUUACUGGGCGUCAAGCGCACGCAGGCGGUCUGUCAAGUCGGAUGUGAAAUCCCCGGGCUCAACCUGGGAACUGCAUUGGAAACUGGCAGGCUAGAGUCUUGUAGAGGGGGGUAGAAUUCCAGGUGUAGCGGUGAGAUGCGUAGAGAGCUGGAGGAAUACCGGUGGCGAAGGCGGCCCCCUGGACAAAGACUGACGCUCAGGUGCGAAAGCGUGGGGAGCAAACAGG
Molecule: ribosomal RNA, 429 nt
Filed under: Chloroflexota bacterium
Lineage: Bacteria; Bacillati; Chloroflexota
Description: Chloroflexi bacterium partial 16S ribosomal RNA
Rfam family: Bacterial small subunit ribosomal RNA
Source: RNAcentral